This is a long non-coding RNA of Sipha flava (yellow sugarcane aphid), 1167 nucleotides long. RefSeq lists it as uncharacterized. Lineage: Eukaryota; Metazoa; Arthropoda; Insecta; Hemiptera; Aphididae. The record is from RefSeq and is a predicted model, not a curated record. The transcript has 3 exons.
UUCCAUACAACGGUCACCGAAGGGAUUCUAAGUAAAAACUGCUAUUUAGAAGUGCCCAUUCCAUAGAGGUAACUGGUAACAGAAGUUCAAUACCUUCCAGGUCACUGCUAUAAGCGAAAAUGAAUACGAGUGGAAACAAAAUAUGGACAGGUUAUUGCGAGACUGGAUGUUAGACGUUCGUCCGGCUUCGCUCGUCCCCAUACAAGCAAGUGCACUAUUAUUAUUUUGAUUGAUAUUGAAAUUCAGUUUAAUAAAAUGUAAAUUAUAAACGUUCGAAAAUAGUUGUUCACAGAAGUGAUUAAUCAGAUGACGAGUUCGAACGGAAAAUAUUAAUGGAAUUGUUUGUUUAACGUUAACGUAAUAUUAUAAACUCCUGAAUGACAUUAUGAUGGCAGUGUUGUUUGUUGUAACUUUCGAGAUUAUUGAAUAAAGCACGGGUACACAAUGGAAUUAUUAAUCCUGUGCGAAAGUUGCAAGUGUUUUUUCGGCGAACUGUCGUUCUAAACCCAAAAGUGUAAGACCAGCGGAUCUGAACGCAAAAUAAUAUAAUCCGAAAAACGUGUAACGCGGAUGCGAAGGUCUAGAACUAUAACGAUUUCCUUUUCUCGCUAUUACUACGAGUUGGACAAAACACGAUAUGGUACAACAGUGCAAGUUGAUUAGAAGACACGCGCCAGAAAGGAAUCGAAACGGAGUGCAGGCGGGUAUUGAGGUUAUUGUCUACAUAUGGAACGCAAUAACUCGUGUGCCCACGGUGUGCACGAUCUCAGGCGUACGUUACGAGUACGUAUGUAAAGUUUUACUUUGCAUAAGUAGCGUAUUAUUUCAUAUGACAGAUGAUGAUGUGUAAAGAAUGAUCUUUUAUGUAAUUAUGCGUUUAUGCAAAUCAUGCUGCAACAAACAUGGCGUGAUGAUAACAAAUAACAGUUAAAUAAUGUAUUGUAAUUACAUUUAUUUCGUUACAAUUUGUCUUUAUAGCAUGUGACGUUGUAUUUGAUGUAUGCAAUUUUUUAUAUUUUUUAUGUAAACAAAAUACCUAAUUAAUUCAAAAUUAAUGGUUAAAAAUGGUACGCGAAAUAACUGUUGUAUGCGAUGAACCUCAAAAUAUGACUAUCUCACGUUAAUUUAGCUCAUAGAAUCGAAUUCAAUAAAUGUUGUACUUAUAUA